RNAcentral lists this ribosomal RNA (446 nucleotides) under uncultured bacterium. Its description in RNAcentral is "bacterial SSU rRNA". It matches the Rfam family "Bacterial small subunit ribosomal RNA", at positions 774 to 1210 of the family's 1533-position model. The record is from RNAcentral.
AGGAAAUAGAUACCCCGGGUAGUCCACGCCGUAAAACGAUGAGCACUAGUUAUUGGGGGUAUUGACUCCCUCAGUGACGCAGCUAAACGCAUUAAGUGCUCCGCCUGGGGAGUACGGUCGCAAGACUAAAACUCAAACAAAUUGACGGGGGCCCGCACAAGCGGUGGAUUAUGUGGUUUAAAUUCGAAGCAACGCGCAGAACCUUACCUAGGCUUGAACUCCUACGAACCUCUUGUAAUGGAGAGGGUGUCCGCAAGGAAAAUGUAGUGAGAGGUGCUGCAUGGCUGUCGUCAGCUCGUGUUGUGAAAUGUUGGGUUAAGUCUCGCAACGAGCGCAACCCCUAUCGUCUGUUGCCAGCAUUAAGUUGGGCACUCUGACGAGACUGCCUGGGGUUAAACCAGGAGGAAGGUGGGGAUGACGUCAAGUCCUCAUGGCCCUUAUGUCUA